This 413-nucleotide non-coding RNA is filed under the name unclassified sequences. Its description in RNAcentral is "Giant, ornate, lake- and Lactobacillales-derived (GOLLD) RNA". It matches the Rfam family "Giant, ornate, lake- and Lactobacillales-derived (GOLLD) RNA". The record is from Rfam by way of RNAcentral.
AGGAGUAGUUUAGUAUUCUGUUGUUCAAAAGAUAACGGAGCUUACGGUGGACCACUACUUCUAUCAUCACGACACACAACUUUAUUUUACGUUCAGAAGUAAAAUUCAUGAUAUAAACAUAAAGCAAAAGUGUCCAUCAGGUUUUGAUGAAAGUCGCCUACACAGUCAUGGGUUGUCCAUGGCACACAGAGACCGCAAGUCAAAGUGUAUUUUUACCAAAAACCUCUAAGGGGUCGAACCCUGAGUCAGGUCGCAAGCUUGAAGAGAGUUGAGUAAUGAAAGAGUAGUUAAAACCUUAAGAAGUGAUUGGUCUAACCAAUCGGCGAUGAGAGUUACCAUUCAAAAGAUGGUGGAAACGAAGGGAACCACAUAAUCCUUUAAAAGAUUCUCAAAAUUAGGUGUAUUCUCAACCU